Molecule: ribosomal RNA, 771 nt
Filed under: uncultured bacterium
Lineage: Bacteria
Description: bacterial SSU rRNA
Rfam family: Bacterial small subunit ribosomal RNA
Source: RNAcentral
GCCACGCUGAUGCGAUUUCGGUCAAAUCAUGUGGCAUUCGAGUGGCGGACGGGUGAGUAACGCGUGGGUAACCUGCCUUACACAGGGGGAUAACACCUGGAAACAGGUGCUAAUACCGCAUAAGCGCACAGGGCCGCAUGGCCCGGUGUGAAAAACUCCGGUGGUGUAAGAUGGACCCGCGUCUGAUUAGCUUGUUGGCGGGGUAGGGGCCCACCAAGGCGACGAUCAGUAGCCGGCCUGAGAGGGUGGACGGCCACAUUGGGACUGAGACACGGCCCAAACUCCUACGGGAGGCAGCAGUGGGGGAUAUUGGACAAUGGGGGAAACCCUGAUCCAGCGACGCCGCGUGAGUGAAGAAGUAUUUCGGUAUGUAAAGCUCUGUCAGCAGGGAAGAAAGAAAUGACGGUACCUGACCAAGAAGCCCCGGCUAACUACGUGCCAGCAGCCGCGGUAAUACGUAGGGGGCAAGCGUUAUCCGGAAUUACUGGGUGUAAAGGGAGCGUAGACGGUGAUGCAAGUCUGGAGUGAAAGGCGGGGGCCCAACCCCCGGACUGCUCUGGAAACUGUGUAACUUGAGUGCAGGAGAGGUAAGCGGAAUUCCUAGUGUAGCGGUGAAAUGCGUAGAUAUUAGGAGGAACACCAGUGGCGAAGGCGGCUUACUGGACUGUAACUGACGUUGAGGCUCGAAAGCGCGGGGAGCAAACAGGAUUAGAUACCCUGGUAGUCCACGCCGUAAACGAUGAUUACUAGGUGUCGGUGGGUAUGGACUCA